RNAcentral lists this transfer RNA (77 nucleotides) under Holophaga sp. RNAcentral describes it as "tRNA-Arg". It matches the Rfam family "tRNA". Rfam says of the family: Transfer RNA (tRNA) molecules are approximately 80 nucleotides in length. Their secondary structure includes four short double-helical elements and three loops (D, anti-codon, and T loops). Further hydrogen bonds mediate the characteristic L-shaped molecular structure. tRNAs have two regions of fundamental functional importance: the anti-codon, which is responsible for specific mRNA codon recognition, and the 3' end, to which the tRNAs corresponding amino acid is attached (by aminoacyl-tRNA synthetases). tRNAs cope with the degeneracy of the genetic code in two manners: having more than one tRNA (with a specific anti-codon) for a particular amino acid; and 'wobble' base-pairing, i.e. permitting non-standard base-pairing at the 3rd anti-codon position. The record is from RNAcentral. Lineage: Bacteria; Pseudomonadati; Acidobacteriota; Holophagae; Holophagales; Holophagaceae.
GCGCCCAUAGCUCAGGCGGAUAGAGCAACGGCCUUCUAAGCCGUAGGUCACAGGUUCGAGUCCUGUUGGGCGCACCA